GGCCAGACUCCUACGGGAGGCAGCAGUGGGGGAUAUUGCACAAUGGGGGGAACCCUGAUGCAGCGACGCCGCGUGGGUGAAGAAGCGCCUCGGCGCGUAAAGCCCUGUCAGCAGGGAAGAAAAUGACGGUACCUGAAGAAGAAGCCCCGGCUAACUACGUGCCAGCAGCCGCGGUAAUACGUAGGGGGCAAGCGUUAUCCGGAUUUACUGGGUGUAAAGGGAGCGUAGACGGCAAUACAAGUCGGAAGUGAAAUACCCGGGCUCAACCUGGGAACUGCUUUGGAAACUGUAUGGCUAGAGUGCUGGAGAGGUAAGCGGAAUUCCUAGUGUAGCGGUGAAAUGCGUAGAUAUUAGGAGGAACACCAGUGGCGAAGGCGGCUUACUGGACAGUAACUGACGUUGAGGCUCGAAAGCGUGGGGAGCAAACAGGAUUAGAUACCCGGGUAA
This 447-nucleotide ribosomal RNA is filed under the name uncultured bacterium. Its description in RNAcentral is "bacterial SSU rRNA". It matches the Rfam family "Bacterial small subunit ribosomal RNA", at positions 329 to 793 of the family's 1533-position model. The record is from RNAcentral.